UGUUAUACCAGGGUCUGCCGCGACCCUCA
Molecule: small RNA, 29 nt
Filed under: Bombyx mori (domestic silkworm)
Lineage: Eukaryota; Metazoa; Arthropoda; Insecta; Lepidoptera; Bombycidae
Description: ovarian small RNA-36042
Source: RNAcentral